This 301-nucleotide ribosomal RNA is filed under the name uncultured bacterium. RNAcentral's name for it is "partial 16S ribosomal RNA". It matches the Rfam family "Bacterial small subunit ribosomal RNA", at positions 509 to 807 of the family's 1533-position model. The record is from RNAcentral.
CAGUAGCCACGGUAAUACGGAGGGUGCAAGCGUUAAUCGGAAUUACUGGGCGUAAAGCGCACGCAGGCGGUCUGACAAGUCAGAUGUGAAAUCCCCGGGCUUAACCUGGGAACUGCAUUUGAAACUGUCAGGCUGGAGUCUUGUAGAGGGGGGUGGAAUUCCAGGUGUAGCGGUGAAAUGCGUAGAGAUCUGGAGGAAUACCGGUGGCGAAGGCGGCCCCCUGGACAAAGACUGACGCUCAGGUGCGAAAGCGUGGGGAGCAAACAGGAUUAGAGACCCGAGUAGUCCCUGUCUCUUAUAC